RNAcentral lists this ribosomal RNA (235 nucleotides) under uncultured Actinomycetales bacterium. Its description in RNAcentral is "partial 16S ribosomal RNA". It matches the Rfam family "Bacterial small subunit ribosomal RNA", at positions 96 to 334 of the family's 1533-position model. Lineage: Bacteria; Bacillati; Actinomycetota; Actinomycetes; Actinomycetales. The record is from RNAcentral.
UGGCGAACGGGUGAGUAGCACGUGGGUGAUCUGCCCUGCACUUCGGGAUACGCCUGGGAAACUGGGUCUAAUACCGGAUAGGAGCCAUUUUUAGUGUGAUGGUUGGAAAGUUUUUUCGGUGUAGGAUGAGCUCGCGGCCUAUCAGCUUGUUGGUGGGGUAAUGGCCUACCAAGGCGGCGACGGGUAGCCGGCCUGAGAGGGUGGACGGCCACAUUGGGACUGAGAUACGGCCCAG